This is a long non-coding RNA of Tupaia belangeri chinensis (Chinese tree shrew), 580 nucleotides long. RefSeq lists it as uncharacterized. The transcript is spliced from 3 exons. NCBI's taxonomy places the organism in Eukaryota, Metazoa, Chordata, Mammalia, Scandentia, Tupaiidae. The record is from RefSeq and is a predicted model, not a curated record.
UUUGGAGGGGGGGGGAAGGGCGUCCCGUUUCGUGAGUGUAUUUCGUUUCUUUAAGAGCUACCAGAAAGCAACUCACCCCCACCCCCAUAAAAAAAAAAAAAAUAAGCGAGUGGGGAAGAGCCAGCCCCACGCCGGUCCGCCUCCCGCCCGCGGCCCGGCCUCCCUCCCACCCGCCGUCUGGCUUGGCGUUCCUUCGCCCCGAGUUCUCAAUCCCCUGGAUCCCGGGCUCGCGGGGGCGCGAAGAGGAUCGAGGAAAGAGAAACCUCUGAUUUUCACUUGCAAGACGCUUGGCUGCGCUUGUCAUACCCUAAAAGGUGAUUUCAGUUCUCCGAUGCCAAAGAACCUUUUCUGCUAAUCAAAACACAGCUGCAGAGGCCCCGUGUGAUCUGCUAAUGGGCACCCCAACUCGAGGGUGUGGUCAGAGCAGCUCAGCUCAGAAGGACAAUGGACAGAUGCCCUCUUGGUAGACUGCUGCUCUCAAGCUCCCUUCACUCCUUGUCCUCCUGCAGAUGGACCUUACUCAAGCCUUUCAGACGAAACCCAAGGCAAACUGAGUUCCAGGUCAUGGCAGUGGCUCCGA